AAGGAGUCUAACACAUAUGCGAGCAGUAGGGUGGAAAACCCGGAUGCGCAAUGAAAGUGAACGGAGGUACCCGCAGCGUGCACCAUCUACCGCCCAGCUGCAUCGCUGGUUUGAGAAGGAGCAUAGAUGUUGGGACCCGAAAGAUGGUGAACUAUGCCUGAAUAGGGUGAAGCCAGAGGAAACUCUGGUGGAGGCUCGUAGCGAUUCUGACGUGCAAAUCGAUCGUCAAAUUUGGGUAUAGGGGCGAAAGACUAAUCGAACCAUCUAGUAGCUGGUUCCUGC
This 282-nucleotide unclassified non-coding RNA is filed under the name uncultured fungus. Its description in RNAcentral is "partial contains 5.8S rRNA, ITS2 and 28S rRNA". It matches the Rfam family "Eukaryotic large subunit ribosomal RNA", at positions 668 to 961 of the family's 3401-position model. Lineage: Eukaryota; Fungi. The record is from RNAcentral.